RNAcentral lists this ribosomal RNA (467 nucleotides) under uncultured crenarchaeote. RNAcentral's name for it is "bacterial SSU rRNA". It matches the Rfam family "Archaeal small subunit ribosomal RNA", at positions 1 to 474 of the family's 1478-position model. Lineage: Archaea; Thermoproteati; Thermoproteota. The record is from RNAcentral.
CUCCCGUUGAUCCUGCGAGACCUGACUGCUAUCGGAUUGGUACUAAGCCAUGCGAGUCGUUGUAGCAAUACAAGGCGGACUGCUCAGUAACACGUAGUUAAUCUAACCUAUGGACGGGGAUAACCUCGGGAAACUGAGAAUAAUCCCCGAUAGAUCACAGUGCCUGGAAUGGCUUGUGGUUCAAAUGAUUUAUCGCCGUAGGAUGGGACUGCGGCCUAUCAGCUAGUUGGUGAGGUAAUGGCCCACCAAGGCUAUAACAGGUACGGGCUCUGAGAGGAGGGGCCCGGAGAUGGGUACUGAGACACGGACCCAGGCCCUAUGGGGCGCAGCAGGCGAGAAACCUUUGCAAUGUGCGAAAGCACGACAAGGUUAAUCCGAGUGUCUCCUGCUAAAGGAGUCUUUUGUCAGUCGUAGAACCACUGGUGAAUAAGGGGUGGGCAAGUUCUGGUGCCAGCAGCCGCGGUAAU